CAUCCACCAACACCAUCGAUGCUGUCCAUCUCCUCUUCGCCAAACCAGAUAGUGCCGUUCACCUGAGAACCAAAAGCUAUGACUUCUUCCUCCAUCAGGCUUUGAUGGUGACGGCAUCCUCCAUUAUCACCAUUAAGCUCGACGUCCUCCAGUACUUCAUCGUCGUCUUUCACCAUUCGUCCAGCUCUAAACCCCACGCAAUCACUCGACUUCUCUCCUUCUCAAAUAAUAGCUUGGUGUCGCUGACUUAUUCCACUCCUCUUCUCUGUUUCAAUAUGUUGCUGUUUGUGCUUCAGUCUUCGGUGACCAUCAUUUUCCUUGUCUUUGCAACUGUUGUCCCUUCCAGGUAAGUUUUAUAUAUGGUUUUUGGUCCCCUAAUCUUUCUUUUUCAUUCAAUAGGUAAUGAUUUCAAACCUUACUUCCUUUUGCUAUAUUGGAUGGAUGAGAGUUGAGGAUACAUUUUCUGGUUGGUUGUGGAAGUUUUAGUCUACAGCUGUGAGACCUUUUCUUGCUCCAAGACUAGCAUUUCUCUUCUUGUCACAACCUUUGUCCUUUAAGUGAAAAUAUAAAUGGUUGCCACAAUAUGAUCAUGCUAUUAAGAAAUUUUGGAAUGCAAAGUGUGCAGAAAUUUUGAGAAAUACAAUGCAUACUAGUAGGCAAGACUUGUAUAAAAAACAAGUUAGGGCUAAGUGGAUUUUGCGUCAAGUGAUGAACGAGUUAGAGAGAAUAUGGGUAUCAGAAGAUUAUAAAGCUAAGUGUGAGAUUGUUAAGGCUAAUCGAGCCUCAACCACAGGAGGCACUCAACACAAAGGUGGAAAUAUUUCUAAUACUGAGCAUAAGAGGAGACUGGCUUUGGAGUUAGGAAGAGAUCCUUCUAUGUUUGAAUUGUUCAAGAUGACACAUUUAAAUGAUAAAAC
This is a long non-coding RNA of Neltuma alba, 917 nucleotides long. RefSeq lists it as uncharacterized. NCBI's taxonomy places the organism in Eukaryota, Viridiplantae, Streptophyta, Magnoliopsida, Fabales, Fabaceae. The record is from RefSeq and is a predicted model, not a curated record. The transcript is spliced from 3 exons.